This 319-nucleotide unclassified non-coding RNA is filed under the name Hevea brasiliensis (rubber tree). The record is from RNAcentral. Lineage: Eukaryota; Viridiplantae; Streptophyta; Magnoliopsida; Malpighiales; Euphorbiaceae.
UUCGGGUCCUUGUACUUUUUGUACUAUGCUUCAAUACAAAAAUACAAGAGUAGACAAAUUAUGGUUUGUUUCACAUUAAACAUAUUAGCACACAAUAAAGUUUUGACGUUUCUAGCUCAUAUUUCGAAAAGUAAAAGGCUGAAGAACAAUGUUUCUUUUCUCUGUAUGUAGUACGCAACUCAUAAAAUAUAUUUAGUGAAUGAUUUCCUCGGAGAAAAUAUGUUUUGUUGAUGUUCUUUCAAAGAUGUUUGCUCAUAAAAUGCUCCCUUUCUUUAUUUGUGAAGAGAAAACAUUUUGAUACUUCUUAACAAUGUCUAGC